RNAcentral lists this ribosomal RNA (253 nucleotides) under uncultured bacterium. RNAcentral describes it as "partial 16S ribosomal RNA". It matches the Rfam family "Bacterial small subunit ribosomal RNA", at positions 524 to 776 of the family's 1533-position model. The record is from RNAcentral.
UACGAAGGGUGCAAACGUUAUUCGGAAUCACUGGGCGUAAAGGGUGUGUAGACGGCAUGCUAAGUUCGUUGUUUAAUCUUCCGGUCUAACCGGAAGCUCGCGAUGGAAACUGGCAAGCUAGAGGAUGGAAGAGAGAAGUGGAAUUCUCGGAGUAGCGGUAAAAUGCGUAGAUCUCGAGAGGAACACCGAUGGCGAAGGCAGCUUAUUGGUCCACUCCUGACGUUGAGACACGAAAGCGUGGGUAGCAAACAGG